RNAcentral lists this ribosomal RNA (330 nucleotides) under uncultured Aquicella sp. Its description in RNAcentral is "bacterial SSU rRNA". It matches the Rfam family "Bacterial small subunit ribosomal RNA", at positions 568 to 898 of the family's 1533-position model. The record is from RNAcentral. Lineage: Bacteria; Pseudomonadati; Pseudomonadota; Gammaproteobacteria; Legionellales; Coxiellaceae.
CGCGUAGGCGGUUAAGUGAGUGUGAUGUGAAAGCCCUGGGCUUAACCUAGGAAGUGCAUCGCAAACGACUUAACUGGAGUAGAUGAGAGGGUGGCGGAAUUUCCGGUGUAGCGGUGAAAUGCGUAGAGAUCGGAAGGAACGUCAAUGGCGAAGGCAGCCACCUGGCAUCAUACUGACGCUGAGGCGCGAAAGCGUGGGGAUCGAACAGGAUUAGAUACCCUGGUAGUCCACGCUGUAAACGAUGAGGACUAGAUGUUGGUAGGGGAACCUAUCAGUAUCGAAGCUAACGCGAUAAGUCUUCCGCCUGGGAAGUACGGCCGCAAGGUUGAA